RNAcentral lists this long non-coding RNA (642 nucleotides) under Androctonus crassicauda. Lineage: Eukaryota; Metazoa; Arthropoda; Arachnida; Scorpiones; Buthidae. The record is from RNAcentral.
UGACAGGGAAAAAACGUUGUAUUUCCUACUAAAAAUUAAAAAUUUUAAGCUUGUAACUUUAAGAAAUUAGUACAAUAAGUGCUUAGUUUCUCUCAUUCUGCCGUUGGCCAUCUUGUCAAUAGGGAAAAUAAAUCAAUACUAUACAGCAAAAGAUAGACAGAAAGAAUGGGACGAAUUAUGCCAACGAUUAAAUUCAGAAGGGACUGGGCCACAAAAAGAUGAAAAAAAUGGAGAAAAGUAAGUUAUAGUUUUGAAUAUUUGCACAUGUAUAUUCCUUCAUUUGCAUGCACAGUUAUUCCAAUUAUAUAAUCUAUUAUAGACUUGGACAGACUGGAAGUCUUCUGUGAAGACUAAAGCGGCCAAACUAAUGAAAAAAUGAGGCAAACAGAUAGUGGUUCCAUAACUACAGAAAAAUUGACACCUUUGGAAGAGCGACUCCUUUCUUUAUAUGGAUCUAUGUGGAUUAAUGGAAUGCCAUUUGUGGCAGAAAGUUCAGUUGGUACAUUGGUAAAUAGUUUGGUUUUUGCUUUUAAAUAUCAUGAAUUGAUACAAUUAUUACAAAAUAAAUGCAAACAUUUCAGACAAAAUAACAAGUAAAAGAAUUUAAAAAUUAAAAUAUUGACAAUAUUGAGAUAGUAUCUG